This 1370-nucleotide ribosomal RNA is filed under the name uncultured bacterium. RNAcentral describes it as "bacterial SSU rRNA". It matches the Rfam family "Bacterial small subunit ribosomal RNA", at positions 28 to 1381 of the family's 1533-position model. The record is from RNAcentral.
GAUGAACGCUGGCGGCGUGCCUAAUACAUGCAAGUCGAGCGAACGGACGAGAAGCUUGCUUCUCUGAUGUUAGCGGCGGACGGGUGAGUAACACGUGGAUAACCUACCUAUAAGACUGGGAUAACUUCGGGAAACCGGAGCUAAUACCGGAUAAUAUUUUGAACCGCAUGGUUCAAAAGUGAAAGACGGUCUUGCUGUCACUUAUAGAUGGAUCCGCGCUACAUUAGCUAGUUGGUAAGGUAACGGCUUACCAAGGCAACGAUGCAUAGCCGACCUGAGAGGGUGAUCGGCCACACUGGAACUGAGACACGGUCCAGACUCCUACGGGAGGCAGCAGUAGGGAAUCUUCCGCAAUGGGCGAAAGCCUGACGGAGCAACGCCGCGUGAGUGAUGAAGGUCUUCGGAUCGUAAAACUCUGUUAUUAGGGAAGAACAUAUGUGUAAGUAACUGUGCACAUCUUGACGGUACCUAAUCAGAAAGCCACGGCUAACUACGUGCCAGCAGCCGCGGUAAUACGUAGGUGGCAAGCGUUAUCCGGAAUUAUUGGGCGUAAAGCGCGCGUAGCGGUUUUUUAGUCUGAUGUGAAAGCCCACGGCUCAACCGUGGAGGGUCAUUGGAAACUGGAAAACUUGAGUGCAGAAGAGGAAAGUGGAAUUCCAUGUGUAGCGGUGAAAUGCGCAGAGAUAUGGAGGAACACCAGUGGCGAAGGCGACUUUCUGGUCUGUAACUGACGCUGAUGUGCGAAAGCGUGGGGAUCAAACAGGAUUAGAUACCCUGGUAGUCCACGCCGUAAACGAUGAGUGCUAAGUGUUAGGGGGUUUCCGCCCCUUAGUGCUGCAGCUAACGCAUUAAGCACUCCGCCUGGGGAGUACGACCGCAAGGUUGAAACUCAAAGGAAUUGACGGGGACCCGCACAAGCGGUGGAGCAUGUGGUUUAAUUCGAAGCAACGCGAAGAACCUUACCAAAUCUUGACAUCCUUUGACAACUCUAGAGAUAGAGCUUUCCCCUUCGGGGGACAAAGUGACAGGUGGUGCAUGGUUGUCGUCAGCUCGUGUCGUGAGAUGUUGGGUUAAGUCCCGCAACGAGCGCAACCCUUAAGCUUAGUUGCCAUCAUUAAGUUGGGCACUCUAAGUUGACUGCCGGUGACAAACCGGAGGAAGGUGGGGAUGACGUCAAAUCAUCAUGCCCCUUAUGAUUUGGGCUACACACGUGCUACAAUGGACAAUACAAAGGGCAGCGAAACCGCGAGGUCAAGCAAAUCCCAUAAAGUUGUUCUCAGUUCGGAUUGUAGUCUGCAACUCGACUACAUGAAGCUGGAAUCGCUAGUAAUCGUAGAUCAGCAUGCUACGGUGAAUACGUUCCCGGGUCU